RNAcentral lists this ribosomal RNA (461 nucleotides) under uncultured bacterium. RNAcentral's name for it is "partial 16S ribosomal RNA". It matches the Rfam family "Bacterial small subunit ribosomal RNA", at positions 28 to 506 of the family's 1533-position model. The record is from RNAcentral.
GAUGAACGCUGACAGAAUGCUUAACACAUGCAAGUCAUUGGCGAAGCUGCGCUUGCGCAGUCUAGCCAAGGCGGACGGGUGAGUAACGCGUAAGGAACUUGCCCUGCAGACAGGGAUAACAGACGGAAACGACUGAUAACACCUGGUAUUGUCAGGCUGGCGCAUGCCGGCCUGAUGAAAGGAGACGCUGCAGGAGAGCCUUGCGUCCUAGUGGCUAGUUGGUGGGGUAACGGCCCACCAAGGCGAUGAUAGGUAGCCGGCCUGAGAGGGUGAACGGCCACAAGGGGAGUGAGAUACGGACCGUACUCCCACGGGAGGCAGCAGUAGGGAAUAUUGGACAAUGGCGGAAACCCGGAUCCAGCACUGCUGUGGGCAAGAAGAAGGUUUUCGGAUUGUAAAGUGCUGACAGCAGGGAAGAAGAAAGUGACGGUACCUGCAGAAGAAGCGACGGCUAAAUACGU